This 281-nucleotide long non-coding RNA is filed under the name Sorghum bicolor (sorghum). RNAcentral describes it as "long non-coding RNA (SBIC_LNC011678)". The record is from RNAcentral. Lineage: Eukaryota; Viridiplantae; Streptophyta; Magnoliopsida; Poales; Poaceae.
GGUUUCGGGACCUCUAUAUGGGUUGGUUGGGCGCACAAGGAAGGGAAGAUCCCGAGAGAAUCGGAGCCGGCUGCACGAAAUCGCCUCUGCGCGAUGGGGAAGAAAGGAAAGGGAAGAAGACGGCCACUGCCAUGCGGGGCCGGACUGUCAGCGACUAGGAGGGAGAAAGAGGAGGGCGCGCGUCUGCUGGCGGUGCUGGGCCGCUCUGCGGGCCGAAAGUAAAGAGUGGAGAGGGCCGAGCGAGGGGGAAUAGAGAAGAGGGAGAGGGGAGCUGGGCUGCG